CUACGGGCCGCUCCAGUGAGGAAUAUUGGACAAUGGGGGCAACCCUGAUCCAGCCAUGCCGCGUGAGUGAAGAAGGCCUUAGGGUUGUAAAGCUCUUUCAAUAGUGAAGAUAAUGACGGUAGCUAUAGAAGAAGCUCCGGCUAAAUUCGUGCCAGCAGCCGCGGUAAUACGAAUGGAGCAAGCGUUGUUCGGAAUCACUGGGCUUAAAGCGUGCGUAGGCGGACAUGAAAGUCAGAAGUGAAAUCCCAGGGCUUAACCCUGGAACUGCUUUUGAAACUCCAUGUCUAGAAUCCGGUAGAGGUCAGGAGAAUUCCUAGUGUAGAGGUGAAAUUCGCAGAUAUUAGGAGGAAUACCAGUGGCGUAGGCGCCUGACUGGGCCGGUAUUGACGCUGAGGUACGAAAGCGUGGGGAGCAAACAGGAUUAGAUACCCUUGUAGUC
Molecule: ribosomal RNA, 439 nt
Filed under: uncultured bacterium
Lineage: Bacteria
Description: partial 16S ribosomal RNA
Rfam family: Bacterial small subunit ribosomal RNA
Source: RNAcentral